This 372-nucleotide ribosomal RNA is filed under the name uncultured organism. Its description in RNAcentral is "partial 16S ribosomal RNA". It matches the Rfam family "Bacterial small subunit ribosomal RNA", at positions 527 to 896 of the family's 1533-position model. The record is from RNAcentral.
GUAGGUGGCAAGCGUUGUCCGGAAUUAUUGGGCGUAAAGCACGCGCAGGCGGUUCUUUAAGUCUGAUGUGAAAGCCCACGGGCUCAACCGUGGAGGGUCAUUGGAAACUGGAGAACUUGAGUACAGAAGAGGAAAGCGGAAUUCCACGUGUAGCGGUGAAAUGCGUAGAGAUGUGGAGGAACACCAGUGGCGAAGGCGGCUUUCUGGUCUGUAACUGACGCUGAGGCGCGAAAGCGUGGGGAGCAAACAGGAUUAGAUACCCUGGUAGUCCACGCCGUAAACGAUGAGUGCUAAGUGUUAGGGGGUUUCCGCCCCUUAGUGCUGCAGCUAACGCAUUAAGCACUCCGCCUGGGGAGUACGGCCGCAAGGCUG